GUGCUAAUACAUAUUAGUGUAGCACAUACACUAAAAUUGAAAUGACACAGAUUAACAUGGCUCCUUUGCCAGGAUGACACACAAAUUUGUAAUCUGUUCUAUGAAGAG
This 108-nucleotide small nuclear RNA is filed under the name Saimiri boliviensis boliviensis (Bolivian squirrel monkey). The record is from RNAcentral. Lineage: Eukaryota; Metazoa; Chordata; Mammalia; Primates; Cebidae.